UACGAAGGGGGCUAGCGUUGUUCGGAUUUACUGGGCGUAAAGCGCACGUAGGCGGAUCGUUAAGUCGGGGGUGAAAUCCUGGAGCUCAACUCCAGAACUGCCUUCGAUACUGGCGAUCUUGAGUCCGGAAGAGGUGAGUGGAACUCCUAGUGUAGAGGUGGAAUUCGUAGAUAUUAGGAAGAACACCAGUGGCGAAGGCGGCUUACUGGUCCGGUACUGACGCUGAGGUGCGAAAGCGUGGGGAGCAAACAGG
RNAcentral lists this ribosomal RNA (253 nucleotides) under uncultured bacterium. RNAcentral's name for it is "partial 16S ribosomal RNA". It matches the Rfam family "Bacterial small subunit ribosomal RNA", at positions 524 to 776 of the family's 1533-position model. The record is from RNAcentral.